CACGCAGGCGGUCUGUCAAGUCGGAUGUGAAAUCCCCGGGCUCAACCUGGGAACUGCAUCCAAAACUGGCAAGCUAGAGUAUGGUAGAGGGUAGUGGAAUUUCCUGUGUAGCGGUGAAAUGCGUAGAUAUAGGAAGGAACACCAGUGGCGAAGGCGACUACCUGGACUGAUACUGACACUGAGGUGCGAAAGCGUGGGGAGCAAACA
RNAcentral lists this ribosomal RNA (207 nucleotides) under uncultured bacterium. RNAcentral describes it as "partial 16S ribosomal RNA". It matches the Rfam family "Bacterial small subunit ribosomal RNA", at positions 568 to 774 of the family's 1533-position model. The record is from RNAcentral.